AACGAACGCUGGCGGCAGGCCUAACACAUGCAAGUCGAGCGCCCUUUCGGGGGAGCGGCGGGCGGGUGAGUAACGCGUGGGAAUAUGCCCUUCUCUACGGAAUAGCCUCGGGAAACUGAGAGUAAUACCGUAUACGCCCUAUGGGGGAAAGAUUUAUCGGGGAAGGAUUAGCCCGCGUUGGAUUAGGUAGUUGGUGGGGUAAUGGCCUACCAAGCCGACGAUCCAUAGCUGGUUUGAGAGGAGGAUCAGCCACACUGGGACUGAGACACGGCCCAGACUCCGACGGGAGGCAGCAGUGGGGAAUCUUAGACAAUGGGGGCAACCCUGAUCGAGCCAUGCCGCGUGAGUGAUGAAGGCCUUAGGGUUGUAAAGCUCUUUCAGCUGGGAAGAUAAUGACGGUACCAGCAGAAGAAGCCCCGGCUAACUCCGUG
Molecule: ribosomal RNA, 431 nt
Filed under: uncultured bacterium
Lineage: Bacteria
Description: partial 16S ribosomal RNA
Rfam family: Bacterial small subunit ribosomal RNA
Source: RNAcentral